This 26-nucleotide non-coding RNA is filed under the name Homo sapiens (human). Lineage: Eukaryota; Metazoa; Chordata; Mammalia; Primates; Hominidae. The record is from RNAcentral.
UAGAUGAGGUGACUGUGCUGCACGGU